GCUAGGGUGGCAGAUUAAUGCGUUAGAUUUAAGCUUUAAAGAUGAGGGUUAAAGUCCUCUCCUGGUU
RNAcentral lists this transfer RNA (67 nucleotides) under Anadara pilula. Its description in RNAcentral is "tRNA-Leu". It matches the Rfam family "tRNA". From Rfam's summary of the family: Transfer RNA (tRNA) molecules are approximately 80 nucleotides in length. Their secondary structure includes four short double-helical elements and three loops (D, anti-codon, and T loops). Further hydrogen bonds mediate the characteristic L-shaped molecular structure. tRNAs have two regions of fundamental functional importance: the anti-codon, which is responsible for specific mRNA codon recognition, and the 3' end, to which the tRNAs corresponding amino acid is attached (by aminoacyl-tRNA synthetases). tRNAs cope with the degeneracy of the genetic code in two manners: having more than one tRNA (with a specific anti-codon) for a particular amino acid; and 'wobble' base-pairing, i.e. permitting non-standard base-pairing at the 3rd anti-codon position. Lineage: Eukaryota; Metazoa; Mollusca; Bivalvia; Arcoida; Arcidae. The record is from RNAcentral.